Molecule: ribosomal RNA, 460 nt
Filed under: Mycolicibacterium frederiksbergense
Lineage: Bacteria; Bacillati; Actinomycetota; Actinomycetes; Mycobacteriales; Mycobacteriaceae
Description: bacterial SSU rRNA
Rfam family: Bacterial small subunit ribosomal RNA
Source: RNAcentral
GGACGAACGCUGGCGGCGUGCUUAACACAUGCAAGUCGAACGGAAAGGCCCUUCGGGGUACUCGAGUGGCGAACGGGUGAGUAACACGUGGGUGAUCUGCCCUGCACUUUGGGAUAAGCCUGGGAAACUGGGUCUAAUACCGAAUAUGACCAUGCGCCUCCUGGUGUGUGGUGGAAAGCUUUUGCGGUGUGGGAUGGGCCCGCGGCCUAUCAGCUUGUUGGUGGGGUAAUGGCCUACCAAGGCGACGACGGGUAGCCGGCCUGAGAGGGUGACCGGCCACACUGGGACUGAGAUACGGCCCAGACUCCUACGGGAGGCAGCAGUGGGGAAUAUUGCACAAUGGGCGCAAGCCUGAUGCAGCGACGCCGCGUGAGGGAUGACGGCCUUCGGGUUGUAAACCUCUUUCAGCACAGACGAAGCGCAAGUGACGGUAUGUGCAGAAGAAGGACCGGCCAACUAC